This 465-nucleotide ribosomal RNA is filed under the name uncultured bacterium. Its description in RNAcentral is "partial 16S ribosomal RNA". It matches the Rfam family "Bacterial small subunit ribosomal RNA", at positions 338 to 795 of the family's 1533-position model. The record is from RNAcentral.
CCUACGGGUGGCAGCAGUGGGGAAUUUUGCGCAAUGCUCGUAAGAGUGACGCAGCGACGCCGCGUGAAUGACGAAGGCCUUCGGGUCGUAAAGCUCUUUCGACAGGGAAGAAAAUGCAUAUAAGUAACUGUGUAUGUAUUGACGGUACCUGUAUAAGCAGCCCCGGCUAACUCCGUGCCAGCAGCCGCGGUAAUACGGAGGGGGCGGGCGUUGUUCGGAGUGAUUGGGCGUAAAGAGCACGUAGGCGGUGUUGUAAGCCUGUAGUCAAAGACUAGAGCUCAACGUUAGUAAGGCUAGGGAUACUGGAGUGCUUGAGUACCAGGAAGGAAUGCGGAAUUCGUGGUGUAGCGGUGAAAUGCGUAGAUAUGAGGAAGAACCCCGUGAGCGAAGGCAGCCUGCUGGACUGUAACUGACGUUGAGGCUCGAAGGCGUGGGUAGCAAACAGGAUUAGAUACCCUGGUAGUC